GACGAACGCUGGCGGCGUGCUUAACACAUGCCAGUCGAACGGAAAGGCCCUGCUUUUGUGGGGUGCUCGAGUGGCGAACGGGUGAGUAACACGUGAGUAACCUGCCCUUGACUUUGGGAUAACUUCAGGAAACUGGGGCUCAUACCGGAUAGGAGCUCCUGCUGCAUGGUGGGGGUUGGAAAGUUUCGGCGGUUGGGGAUGGACUCGAGGCUUAUCAGCUUGUUGGUGGGGUAGUGGCUUACCAAGGCUUUGACGGGUAGCCGGCCUGAGAGGGUGACCGGCCACAUUGGGACUGAGAGAGGGCCCAGACGCCUACGGGAGGCAGCAGUGGGGAAUAUUGCACAAUGGGCGGAAGCCUGAUGCAGCAACGCCGCGUGCGGGAUGACGGCCUUCGGGUUGUAAACCGCUUUCGCCUGUGACGAAGCGUGAGUGACGGUAAUGGGUAAAGAAGCACCGGCUAACUACGUG
This 468-nucleotide ribosomal RNA is filed under the name uncultured bacterium. Its description in RNAcentral is "partial 16S ribosomal RNA". It matches the Rfam family "Bacterial small subunit ribosomal RNA", at positions 28 to 507 of the family's 1533-position model. The record is from RNAcentral.